Molecule: non-coding RNA, 136 nt
Organism: Pelobates cultripes (western spadefoot toad)
Lineage: Eukaryota; Metazoa; Chordata; Amphibia; Anura; Pelobatidae
Source: the annotation of a GenBank genome assembly
AUGAUAUUCACACGUCCCGUGUCACUUAUGUAUAUAUAUAUAUAUAUGUAUAUAUAUAUAUAUAUAUAUAUAUAUAUAUAUAUAUAUAUAUAUAUACAUAUAUAUACAUAAGUGACACGGGACGUGUGAAUAUCAU